Molecule: non-coding RNA, 81 nt
Organism: Poecilia formosa (Amazon molly)
Lineage: Eukaryota; Metazoa; Chordata; Actinopteri; Cyprinodontiformes; Poeciliidae
Source: Rfam
CUGCAACCUCGUUCAAGUAAUCCAGGAUAGGCUUUGUGGAUCUACUUCAGCCUAUCCUUGAUUACUUGCACUUGGCAGCAG